Molecule: non-coding RNA, 865 nt
Organism: Pelobates cultripes (western spadefoot toad)
Lineage: Eukaryota; Metazoa; Chordata; Amphibia; Anura; Pelobatidae
Source: the annotation of a GenBank genome assembly
GUUUUAUUCAGUUGUGUAAUGUUCAGAAGAGUGACGGUUCCCCUUUAAGUGGACACGAGUGACGCUAUUUCCACUGCCAUCAUUUCUAUAAAAUGUAUAUAAAAGAAAAGUAUAAAGUUUGAAAAGCUCUUUAUCUAAAUUCACCCAAAAGGAACCACAUAAAAUUAAAACAAAAGCAUACUUUGUCUGAAAGAAUCAAGGUGUCGAAUUGGAGCUAUUGAAUGUGGCUUUGCUAAACGUUUUAGGAAACAUCUAAAAUAAACAAUACUAAGACAACUAAACGAUGUAAUGACACACAUUUCGUAUCCCCGGAAGAGUUUGUCUCCUCUUAUAGACACUCGUUUGUUUUCUCAGAUUCAUGACGUGCACGCAGACAACGCUUGCUGACAAUAGUCCUUCUGAGACAUACAUUAUACUCUGUACAGGAAAAAGAAAUGCUUCAAAAUUGUACUUUUCCAGUUAAAUUGUUUGCAAAGCAUAGAGUGUACAAAACAUAGACUAUACAAGUGAAAAAACACAUGGUCUGAAAUGGGGUGGGUGGUUUAAUGGUUCUGAAUUGGGUUGCGUUAUCUGGUAUUGGUAGAGGAGUCUGAAGCCUGCAGUAGGAAGAGAAUGUGAAGAGAGGUUUUUAGUUUUUGGUGUGCAGAAAAUCUGAGGUGAGCAAAAGUCUGGAGUAUGCAGAGGGUUCUAGGUGGGGUGGAUAAGAACUGAUAGAUUGGUAAUGGAAAAGGGGAUUUGAGAGAUGCAAGGUCUGUAAGUCAGUGAAACCCCCAGAAUGGUUGGCUAGGUGAAUUCAACAAUACAUAUUGUCCUUGAUUUAAUAUUUUUGGAUAAACUUUAAAGUUAUUUAAAAAAAUAUUUUGAU